Long non-coding RNA from Alnus glutinosa, 1052 nucleotides. RefSeq lists it as uncharacterized. The transcript has 3 exons. The record is from RefSeq and is a predicted model, not a curated record. NCBI's taxonomy places the organism in Eukaryota, Viridiplantae, Streptophyta, Magnoliopsida, Fagales, Betulaceae.
AUACUUUCCAACCAUAAAGAUCAAUUGCCAAUUAUUUCAACCUUUGCUACUACCGUUGGGCUGAAAAUUGAAGAAAAUCGCUCAAGAAAUUGGUUGUUCCGCAGCUCCGCUCUUCUUCUUUGCCUGUUGGUAUCGCUGAGCCUGGGCAAACUGUGGUGACUACCUGACUGGUUCCUUAAAAAUCUUAGAUUACAUCAUGGGCAAGCCAAAAAGAAUUGAUGCAUUUUUUAAGAAAAAAGAUGCAGAUUCCAAUUUUAAAAUGUCUUCUUCCACAUUUGAUCCUCAAGCUUCAGCUCCUGAGCAACGCCCUUCUAAGAUGCUAAGAAUUGAAUCUCAAAUUGAGUCAGUUGACAUUUCUGCUAUUCAACAUGAUCCACGGUUACGUCCUCAAAUAUCGGAAUAUCCAGUUAAUCAACAGGAUGAAAUUAGACGUGCUUAUCUUAAAGACGGUCCAUAUAGAUUCAUUCCUUCUAACAGUUCUGGAUAUCCAUUUUCGGGAAUUGGAAAAAAUUGUCGGAGAUUUUAAUCAUCUUGGUACAAGAUGUUUAAUUGGUUAGAAUACUUUCCUACAAAAGAUGCUGCUUAUUGUUUGCCCUGCUAUCUUUUCGGUAAAAAGCCAACGGGACGACCCGGAGCUAAUGCAUUUACUAUUGAAGGAUUUCGUAAUUGGAAAAAAGGUUAAUGAUGGUAUAAAGUGUGCUUUUUGGUCCAUAUAGGAAAUGAUCAAUGUCCACCUCAUAAUAAUGCUGUUAAGUGUUGUGAUACUUUGAAGAAUCAAUCUCAACAUAUUGAAAAUGUGAUUGAUAAGCAAACUUCGGAACAAAAAUUGAACAAUCGAUUGCGAUUGAAGACUUCAAUCGAUUGUAUUCGUUAUUUAACAUUCCAAGGAUAUGCUCUUAGAGGUCAUGAUGAGGGUCCAAAUUCAAAAAAUCGUGUCAAUUUCCUUGAGUUAAUAGACCUUGUAUCCAUGUACAAUGAAAAAGUUGCUAAGGUUGUCUUAGAAAAUGUUCCACAAAAUGCUAAAUAUACUUCACAUCAUAUCCAAAAAGAUA